CCCCUAGAUGUUCUGGGCCGCACGCGCGCUACACUGACCAGUGCAACAAGCAUCCGUCCUUGGCCGACAGGCUCGGGCAAUCUUUGAACGCUGGUCGUGAUGGGGAUAGACUUUUGCAAUUUUUGGUCUUCAACGAGGAAUUCCUAGUAAACGCAAGUCAUCAACUUGCAUUGAUUACGUCCCUGCCCUUUGUACACACCGCCCGUCGCACCUACCGAUUGAAUGGUCCGGUGAAGCCUCCGGAUUGGCGCGCACCUCGGUGCCGCCGAGAAGUUGGCUAAACCUUNCNAUUUAGNGGAAGGUGAANUCGUANCA
RNAcentral lists this ribosomal RNA (315 nucleotides) under uncultured eukaryote. RNAcentral describes it as "partial 18S ribosomal RNA". It matches the Rfam family "Eukaryotic small subunit ribosomal RNA", at positions 1470 to 1796 of the family's 1831-position model. The record is from RNAcentral.